CUUAAUCCAUGUGUGUGCGAACCGCGAUGCCUAGUUCUUCCCUCUGAAACCUAGGGAUAGUAUUCCCAUCCGAGAAAGCAGAGCUACAGCAAAUUACAUUUUGUCCCUCGAAUUAGAAAAGGAUCAUUGAGUGGAUCUCGUGAUAUUUCAGCCUUUAAACGUAACCGAGAGGCAGCAGUGAACAAUGCCUCGGCACAGCUCAGACCAUCCGCGGAGUUCUCCUUCCCUCUCCUUGCAUCUGGAUCUCCCAGCCUUGCCUUUCUCCUGCUCGCUCGUGUGAGAGGCAAAAAAAGCAAAGUUUCGAAAGAAAACAGCUGCUGGCGCUAAAGAGAAAUCAUCGUGGUCUUUCUAGAGCUAGAGACAAUAAGGUCGUUUAAAAAUUCCUCCUGAUGUACUUAUAUGCUGCGAACACCCCCACCCCCUCCCUACUGCUCUCCUCCCCCUGCUUUAAGGUUAAGGCUAUGGAGUCAACAGUAAAGGAACAGUAAACUCUGAGAAAGCUGCUCAGAAGACGUUACCCAAAAGCCCGAUGGGCUGAAAAGUCCUUUAUUUGUCAGGUAGUUAAUCUGGGUCGGAUUGCCGUGUAAAUCCACGCGUGCUUUGCACGCAGGGAGCCACGGGCAUCCAAACCCGCACCCACACGCUGCUGGUGAUAGCCUGGCAGUGGCAUUCGGCAGCUGUUUAAAAAAUGCCCUUUUUUAAAAUUAUUUUUUUAUUUCCUUUUUUUUUUUUUUUUUUUUUUUAAUAAUUCCAGUGCUACCAAACGUUUAAAACUAGUGACGGCUUUUCGGCAAACCUCGGGUUCCCGAAAGGUGCGGCCAUGAGCACCGGGGUCGAGGCAGCGCCAGAUGUCGGCAGGGAGAAACCCACCAGAAGUCUUGGGAAAUGUCAGGCGCCCAACCUACACAUCCCCACCGUAUACUUACACACACUUUCGGUUGCAUAUCUUUCUCCGCAUCUCACACAAGAGAGCUUUGUUUCUUUACUUCUCCAUCAUUUGGUUUGGUUCUUUUUGUGCGUGUGCGUGUGCGUGUGUGUGCGCCCUUUCCCUUGGCCAUCGGCACACGUUUUGUAUCCGGGGUCGUCUUGAAGCAGGCUGGGGGAGAUCCUGAUAAACAGCCAUCAGAGGCCCCUUGCACACGCACACGCACAUUAAAGGCAGGGGACUUGAAAAUGGAUUUGCACGCACACAGGGGAUUGCGAUCAAUAGCCACCAACAUUUAUGGCUUAGAUUGUUAAUGUGAAAGCUGGUCAAAAUAAUGAAAAUGAAAAAUUAAAGGUGUCUGGUGUCAAUUACAUGAAAAGUUAUGCCAUAAUUUACUUACUGGGAUAUAUGCCUAUGUGUUCGUGUGUCCAUGUGCAUGUGUGUGCAGACCCAGAUGUACAUGUAGCUGUCUCAAAAGCAAGGGAAUUUCUUUGUUAAUUUUGUGGACUGUGUCACCCUCACUGGUGAUCAAAGAUGAACAUGAUUAAAGGAAUGGAUGUUUGUCUCACAUUUCUUAAGAUAAGCACAGCCAGAGAUGCCCGGUUUUGCCAAGUACAUACACAUGCAACUACAGAGAGUUGUGUGUAUGGGCGCAUACAUACACAGAGGCGAUCAAUCAAACGUGCUCCUUUUCACAUUGAGUAGCGUGCAAUUUGCAAUCUACACUCUAUAGCCAGUAGUAUUUCAGUCUUAAAACUGUCUGGCUGAAGGAUAAACCUCAUUAGGAAAGAAAGAGCAAAAUAAUAUUCAUAAUACUUCACUGUAGACCUAUUCCCAUUUGUUGAAAAUCAUAUACUUUUAUUUUUGUAAACUUGUGUUAAAAUAUAUAUGCUCAGAGGGAACUGCUUAGCUAUGUCAUUCCAGAAAGACAACGCGUGUAACAUUUCAAAUACUCCUUUUACGUGAUGUUUUGAUUUAUUUUCAUAGUAUGAUUAUGUUUAAAUACCAGUGCAAUUUAGUCUGACCUCUUCCUUCUCCAAGGUAGUAAUGCACAUACCAUUUACAGUCUUUUAAAUGUUUCAUUGGGAAAUGCAACAGCAAUGUCCACCACUGGUUGUACUAAUGGAGAGAAUUCUGAACAUCUUCAGGAAAACCUAAGGGUCAUGUGCGUUUUCACAAUAGGAUUGCCACAUUAUUAGAAUAUUACUAUUAUUUAUUAUUAUUUGUUAAUGCUGGGAUAUGUCUUCAGGUAUUGACACUUAUUAAAUAAACCUUUUGCUU
This 2206-nucleotide long non-coding RNA is filed under the name Taeniopygia guttata (zebra finch). RNAcentral's name for it is "lncRNA (ENSTGUG00000025501.1)". The record is from RNAcentral. Lineage: Eukaryota; Metazoa; Chordata; Aves; Passeriformes; Estrildidae.